Molecule: ribosomal RNA, 403 nt
Filed under: Verrucomicrobiota bacterium
Lineage: Bacteria; Pseudomonadati; Verrucomicrobiota
Description: Verrucomicrobia bacterium partial 16S ribosomal RNA
Rfam family: Bacterial small subunit ribosomal RNA
Source: RNAcentral
UGGGGAAUAUUGCACAAUGGGCGCAAGCCUGAUGCAGCAACGCCGCGUGAACGAUGAAGGUCUUCGGAUCGUAAAGUUCUGUUGCAGGGGAAGAUAAUGACGGUACCCUGUGAGGAAGCCCCGGCUAACUACGUGCCAGCAGCCGCGGUAAUACGUAGGGGGCUAGCGUUAUCCGGAUUUACUGGGCGUAAAGGGUGCGUAGGUGGUCCUUCAAGUCGGUGGUUAAAGGCUACGGCUCAACCGUAGUAAGCCGCCGAAACUGGAGGACUUGAGUGCAGGAGAGGAAAGUAGAAUUCCCAGUGUAGCGGUGAAAUGCGUAGAUAUUGGGAGGAACACCAGUAGCGAAGGCGGCUUUCUGGACUGCAACUGACACUGAGGCACGAAAGCGUGGGUAGCAAACAGG